Molecule: ribosomal RNA, 498 nt
Filed under: uncultured Sphingobacteriales bacterium
Lineage: Bacteria; Pseudomonadati; Bacteroidota; Sphingobacteriia; Sphingobacteriales
Description: bacterial SSU rRNA
Rfam family: Bacterial small subunit ribosomal RNA
Source: RNAcentral
CCUUGCCAGCCCGCUCAGAAACUCAAAGGAAUUGACGGGGCCCGCACAAGCGGUGGAGCAUGUGGUUAAUUCGAUGAUACGCGAGGAACCUUACCUGGGCUCAAAUGUAUGUUGACGUAUUCUGAAAGGGAUACUUCUUCGGACAAUAUACAAGGUGCUGCAUGGUUGUCGUCAGCUCGUGCCGUGAGGUGUCGGGUUAAGUCCCAUAACGAGCGCAACCCCUAUCAUUAGUUGCCAUCAGGUCAAGCUGGGGACUCUAAUGAAACUGCCUACGCAAGUAGUGAGGAAGGUGGGGAUGACGUCAAAUCAGCACGGCCCUUACGUCCAGGGCUACACACGUGCUACAAUGGCCGGUACAAAGGGCAGCUACCUGGUGACAGGAUGCUAAUCUCAAAAGCCGGUCUCAGUUCGGAUCGGAGUCUGCAACCCGACUCCGUGAAGCUGGAAUCGCUAGUAAUCGUGAAUCAGAAUGUCACGGUGAAUACGUUCCCGGGCCUU